Lolium perenne is the source of this 1704-nucleotide non-coding RNA. NCBI's taxonomy places the organism in Eukaryota, Viridiplantae, Streptophyta, Magnoliopsida, Poales, Poaceae. The record is from RefSeq and is a predicted model, not a curated record.
CUCCGAUCUGAAGUCUGAACUCGUGCUAUAGCGUGACUGAGAGACCAACUGCGGACAUGGAGAACUCUGGCUCCGCUUCCGACGUGGGCUACCCAUCAGAGGGCGAGGUGAGAAUCCUCGUCGUCGACGAAGACCCACUCAGCCUCAUCACCCUCAUUCGGACGCUCAAGAGCUGUGGCUACCAAGUGACGGCCAAGGCGUCGCCGGAAGAGGCGCUGCGAGAGGUGCGGCAGAAGCCGGAGGGGUCGUUCGACCUCGUCAUAACUGUGGCGCGCACGGAGGGGACAGGUAUCGAUGGCUUUGGCCUCCUCGAGCACCUCAGAAAUCGUCUCCCAGUCAUCCUGGUCAGCAACGAGCCCGAGCCCAUGGAGACGAUGAUGAGGGGGUACCUGGGAGGCGCUUUCGAGUUCUUGACCAAGCCCCUGGGCGAGAAGGAGCUGCGCUACAUCUGGAAGCACGUCUCCCGGUGGAGGAUCAACGCCGCGAACGGCUCCGACCCUCGGUGGAGAAGAUCCGCCGGAGCGGUGAACGGCUCCGGCGAGGGGAGCUCUCGCGGCGUCCGGCAACAGAAGAAGCGGUGCAGGACCACUAGGAAGACCCAGUUCAACUCGUUGCCGAACCUGCACGCGUUGUUCGUCGAGGCGGCCGAAGUGCUCCAGGGAACGGAAGGAUAUUGUCUCAAAGGGAUACGUGAACUCUUGUCAGCUCAAGGUAUAGAAAUACCUAUAGACCAAGCCACAAUCCAUCUGGAGAUAUACGAAAGGGACCGUCUAAUUAAUCAUCUAUCUGGCGAGCCCACAGACAUGUCAUCUCAUUAUAACAAUUCAGGGAACUAUUUGACGUAUCAAAGUUCAGGAUCCUAUAUGAGAUCUCAUGGAGCUACAAAUGUUAACCAGCUAAGUAAUGGUGCAUUACCACGCUGUCGUGGCGUUCUUGGAAAUGAGAGCUACAGAGCUAGUCAUGUUGGACAUCUUCACAACAAUGGCAAUCACCAUGGCAAUUCUAGUGGUUAUGGCAAUGCUAAUGCUAAUGCUAAUGGUUAUUGUGGUAAAGGUCCAGAAAACAGAAGCAUGGUUAGUGCACCUCCAUCUUUCAACCAAGCACAACAAGUACAAUAGACAAUGGCCACUCCUGGUUUGGUUCCAAGAUUCAGCUACCACGGCAGCACCCGUGGGAUAGCAAUGUUGGGUGAUGGUGAUGACAUGGUGAGAAGCUACCAGCUGGGUGAAAUAGAGGCCAUCCAGAACAAUGCAGCAACAUGUAUGACCCAAGGAAUCCAUGAAGCUGGCGCUGCUGGUCAAGCCAGUGCAUCGCAUGCUCAAGACUUCACUGACUUUUUAAACUGGGAGAGCACUUGUGGAAACGGAAUAACUGGGCCAUCAGAUGCAAUGUGAUCCAAGUGAGGACGAAAUUAAAAAGCUUAAUAACUAGCAGGGCAUACAUUAAUUGCAAGCUUUAUAUAUAAAGCUGGGCCAAGGGCCUUCUCUUUAAAAGGGCAUACAUUAAUUGCAAGAAUGCUAACCCUGCCUAUGAUGAAUUAGCAAGGAACAUGGUGUGCUCUCCUCUAUAUGAAUGAAUCGAUCUUCAAUUUGGUUAUUUAUGAAGUAGAAAUAAAGUACUAUUCUGUAAAAUAAGUUAACUGUUGAUACUGUUCAUGUACUAAGUUAAUUUGAAGAUAUGUAUGCGUGAGACUUUGUCUUGGAA